GGAGGGUGCAAGCGCUAUCCGGAUUUACUGGGUUUAAAGGGUGCGUAGGUGGGUUGGUAAGUCAGUGGUGAAAUACUUUCGCUUAACGAAGGAACUGCCAUUGAUACUACCAGUCUUGAAUACAGUGGAGGUAGGCGGAAUGCGUCAUGUAGCGGUGAAAUGCUUAGAUAUGACGCAGAACACCAAUUGCGAAGGCAGCUUGCUACACUGUUAUUGACACUGAGGCACGAAAGCGUGGGGAUCAAACAGGAUUAGAUACCCUGGUAGUCCACGCCCUAAACGAUGAUUACUCGAUCUCAGCGAUACACUGUUGGGGUCUAUGUGAAAGCAUUAAGUAAUCCACCUGGGGAGUACGAUCGCAAGAUUG
This 367-nucleotide ribosomal RNA is filed under the name uncultured bacterium. Its description in RNAcentral is "bacterial SSU rRNA". It matches the Rfam family "Bacterial small subunit ribosomal RNA", at positions 527 to 896 of the family's 1533-position model. The record is from RNAcentral.